Molecule: ribosomal RNA, 423 nt
Filed under: uncultured bacterium
Lineage: Bacteria
Description: bacterial SSU rRNA
Rfam family: Bacterial small subunit ribosomal RNA
Source: RNAcentral
UAGGGAAUAUUGGGCAAUGGACGCAAGUCUGACCCAGCCAUGCCGCGUACAGGAUGACGACGUUAUGCAUUGUAAACUGCUUUUAUACAGGAAGAAACGACUCUUGCGAGAGGCAUUGACAAUACUAUAUAAAUAAGCACCGGCUAACUCCGUGCCAGCAGCCACGGUAAUACGGAGGGUGCAAACGUUGUCCGGAUUUAUUGGAUUUAAAGGGUGCGCAGGUGGUUUAUUAAGUCAAUGGUGAAAGACGGUCGCUCAACGAUUGCAGUGCCAUUGAAACUGGUAGACUUGAGUAAAGUAGAGGUGGGCGGAAUUGAUAGUGUAGCGGUGAAAUGCAUAGAUAUUAUCAAGAACUCCAAUUGCGUAGGCAGCUCGCUUGGCUUUUACUGACACUCAUGCACGAAAGUGUGGGUAUCAAACAGG